Molecule: ribosomal RNA, 31 nt
Filed under: Trichoderma inhamatum
Lineage: Eukaryota; Fungi; Ascomycota; Sordariomycetes; Hypocreales; Hypocreaceae
Description: partial 18S ribosomal RNA
Source: RNAcentral
UUCUGUCGGUGAACCAGCGGGGGAUCAUUAC